UACGGGGGGGGCAAGCGUUGUUCGGAAUUACUGGGCGUAAAGCGCACGUAGGCGGAUUUGUCAGUCAGGGGUGAAAUCCCGGGGCUCAACCUCGGAACUGCCUUUGAUACAGCAAGUCUUGAGUUCGAGAGAGGUGAGUGGAAUUCCUAGUGUAGAGGUGAAAUUCGUAGAUAUUAGGAAGAACACCAGUGGCGAAGGCGGCUCACUGGUCCGGUACUGACGCUGAGGUGCGAAAGCGUGGGGAGCAAACAGG
Molecule: ribosomal RNA, 253 nt
Filed under: uncultured bacterium
Lineage: Bacteria
Description: partial 16S ribosomal RNA
Rfam family: Bacterial small subunit ribosomal RNA
Source: RNAcentral